This 301-nucleotide ribosomal RNA is filed under the name uncultured bacterium. RNAcentral's name for it is "partial 16S ribosomal RNA". It matches the Rfam family "Bacterial small subunit ribosomal RNA", at positions 509 to 809 of the family's 1533-position model. The record is from RNAcentral.
CAGCAGCCGCGGUAAUACAGAGGGUGCGAGCGUUAAUCGGAUUUACUGGGCGUAAAGCGUGCGUAGGCGGCUUUUUAAGUCGGAUGUAAAAUCCCUGAGCUUAACUUAGGAAUUGCAUUCGAUACUGGGAAGCUAGAGUAUGGGAGAGGAUGGUAGAAUUCCAGGUGUAGCGGUGAAAUGCGUAGAGAUCUGGAGGAAUACCGAUGGCGAAGGCAGCCAUCUGGCCUAAUACUGACGCUGAGGUACGAAAGCAUGGGGAGCAAACAGGAUUAGAUACCCCAGUAGUCCCUGUCUCUUAUAA